This 374-nucleotide ribosomal RNA is filed under the name uncultured bacterium. RNAcentral describes it as "bacterial SSU rRNA". It matches the Rfam family "Bacterial small subunit ribosomal RNA", at positions 527 to 896 of the family's 1533-position model. The record is from RNAcentral.
GGGGGGAGCAAGCGUUGUUCGGAUUUACUGGGCGUAAAGGGCGCGUAGGCGGCCACCGCAAGUCGACUGUGAAAUCUCCGGGCUUAACUCGGAAAGGUCAGCCGAUACUGCGGGGCUAGAGUGCAGAAGGGGCAACUGGAAUUCUCGGUGUAGCGGUGAAAUGCGUAGAUAUCGAGAGGAACACCUGCGGCGAAGGCGGGUUGCUGGGCUGACACUGACGCUGAUUGUGCGAAAGCUAGGGGAGCGAACGGGAUUAGAUACCCCGGUAGUCCUAGCCUUAAACGAUGAAUGCUUGGUGUCUGGGGUUUUAUAGUCCCCGGGUGCCGUCGCUAACGCUUUAAGCAUUCCGCCUGGGGAGUACGGUCGCAAGACUG